UGAGCAAUCUGCCCUUCUCAUCGGAAUAAGCGUUGGAAACGACGUCUAAUGCCGAAUACGACCUCCUUUCGCAUGAUCGGAGGUGGAAAGCUCCGGCGGAUAAGGAUGAGCUCGCGGCCUAUCAGCUAGUUGGUGUGGGUAAUGGCCCACCAAGGCGACGACGGGUAGCCGGCCUGAGGAGGGUGACCGGCCACACUGGGACUGAGACACGGCCCAGACCUCCGUACGGGAGCAG
This 235-nucleotide ribosomal RNA is filed under the name uncultured bacterium. RNAcentral's name for it is "partial 16S ribosomal RNA". It matches the Rfam family "Bacterial small subunit ribosomal RNA", at positions 118 to 347 of the family's 1533-position model. The record is from RNAcentral.